AGUGUAGGCGGUAUGACAAGUCGGGUGUGAAAUCCCAGGGCCCAACCCUGGAACUGCAUCCGAUACUGUCAGGCUAGAGUCCCGGAGAGGGUGGCGGAAUUCCCGGUGUAGGGGUGAAAUCCGUAGAUAUCGGGAGGAACACCAGUGGCGAAGGCGGCCACCUGGACGGUGACUGACGCUGAGACUCGAAAGUGUGGGUAGCAAACAGGAUUAGAUACCCUGGUAGUCC
This 229-nucleotide ribosomal RNA is filed under the name uncultured bacterium. RNAcentral's name for it is "partial 16S ribosomal RNA". It matches the Rfam family "Bacterial small subunit ribosomal RNA", at positions 568 to 796 of the family's 1533-position model. The record is from RNAcentral.